Long non-coding RNA from Clupea harengus (Atlantic herring), 700 nucleotides. The record is from Ensembl. Lineage: Eukaryota; Metazoa; Chordata; Actinopteri; Clupeiformes; Clupeidae.
GCCUGAGCCAGUGCGAGGCAGCCAGGCAAGCCACCGUUGAGAAGAUCGAAGGAGCCAAGGUGGUGAGCGAGAGAGACCAGAACGUGCUCCUGGAUCAGCUGAGCAACAGCCGUGGGAACCAAACAGCGCUUCUGAGGGAGCUGGACAUCAUCAUGGAGAGGCUGAGGGAAACUAAUGUGUCACUGAUGGACAGCCUGCAGUGGAAGGAGGUUUUGAAAGAGAACAUUACCACUUUAAAAAGUGAAAAAGAAAUACACAUGACCCUGCAAAAAAACUUGUCCUCUGUACUGGCAUGGCAGGAAGCCCAUACCGACACACUGCAGGCCAACUUGACAUGGAGCCUUCAUCAGUGGGACUCCUGCAACGCCUUACUCAAUGCUGCUAACAGCCAGCAGGUGGCAGCAGAGAGUCAGAACAAAGCCUGCAAGUCUACUAGCGCUUAUCUGUUCAAACUACUGAAUGCAUGCAGGAUUGAAGACGACAGUGGAUCACAACAGAUUAAUGCUGUUGCCCUGUGAUCACACAACAGGCACACUACUUUUAUUUUUAUUUUGUGUUGUGUGUUUUAUGAGUUCUGAGUUGUUAAAAGGACAUAAUGAAUGUCACAAUACCAAGAGAUUGGUUUGUAGAUUGUAGAUUAUGUAUACGUCCGGAAUUGUAUUGGAGUGUACCACAGGAAAAAUCACUGGAAUCAUACCCA